UUCCAGACUCCUACGGGAGGCAGCAGUGGGGAAUAUUGCACAAUGGGGGAAACCCUGAUGCAGCGACGCCGCGUGAGCGAUGAGGUAUUUCGGUAUGUAAAGCUCUAUCAGCAGGGAAGAAAAUGACGGUACCUGACUAAGAAGCCCCGGCUAACUACGUGCCAGCAGCCGCGGUAAUACGUAGGGGGCAAGCGUUAUCCGGAUUUACUGGGUGUAAAGGGAGCGUAGACGGCAAUGCAAGCCAGAUGUGAAAGCCCGGGGCUCAACCCCGGGACUGCAUUUGGAACUGUGUAGCUGGAGUGUCGGAGAGGCAGGCGGAAUUCCUAGUGUAGCGGUGAAAUGCGUAGAUAUUAGGAGGAACACCAGUGGCGAAGGCGGCCUGCUGGACGAUGACUGACGUUGAGGCUCGAAAGCGUGGGGAGCAAACAGGAUUAGAUACCCCAGUAAG
RNAcentral lists this ribosomal RNA (448 nucleotides) under uncultured bacterium. RNAcentral's name for it is "partial 16S ribosomal RNA". It matches the Rfam family "Bacterial small subunit ribosomal RNA", at positions 329 to 793 of the family's 1533-position model. The record is from RNAcentral.